GACGAACGCUGGCGGCGCGCUUAACACAUGCAAGUCGAACGGAAAGGCCUGCUUUCCCUUGUGGAUUGCGGGUACUCGAGUGGCGAACGGGUGAGUAACACGUGAGUGAUCUGCCCCCAACUUGGGUAUAAGCCUGGGAAACUGGGUCUAAUUCCCGAUAGGACUGCAGGGUGGUGCCUGUGGUGGAAAACGAUUUUCUAGUGGUUGGGGAUGAGCUCGCGGCCUAUCAGCUUGUUGGUGGGGUAAUGGCCUACCAAGGCGGCGACGGGUAGCCGGCCUGAGAGGGUGGACGGCCACAUUGGGACUGAGAUACGGCCCAGACUCCUACGGGAGGCAGCAGUGGGGAAUAUUGCACAAUGGGCGGAAGCCUGAUGCAGCGACGCCGCGUGGGGGAUGACGGCCUUCGGGUUGUAAACUCCUUUCGACCGCGAGGAAGCCACCUGGUUGGAAGGGUGGUGACGGUAGUGGUAGGAGAAGCACCGGCUAACUACGUG
RNAcentral lists this ribosomal RNA (494 nucleotides) under uncultured bacterium. RNAcentral's name for it is "partial 16S ribosomal RNA". It matches the Rfam family "Bacterial small subunit ribosomal RNA", at positions 28 to 507 of the family's 1533-position model. The record is from RNAcentral.